Molecule: ribosomal RNA, 429 nt
Filed under: Pseudomonadota bacterium
Lineage: Bacteria; Pseudomonadati; Pseudomonadota
Description: Proteobacteria bacterium partial 16S ribosomal RNA
Rfam family: Bacterial small subunit ribosomal RNA
Source: RNAcentral
UGGGGAAUAUUGGACAAUGGGCGAAAGCCUGAUCCAGCCAUGCCGCGUGAGUGAAGAAGGUCUUCGGAUUGUAAAGCACUUUAAGUUGGGUGGAAGGGCAGUAAGCGAAUACCUUGCUGUUUUGACGUUACCGACAGAAUAAGCACCGGCUAACUCUGUGCCAGCAGCCGCGGUAAUACAGAGGGUGCAAGCGUUAAUCGGAAUUACUGGGCGUAAAGCGCGCGUAGGUGGUUCGUUAAGUUGAAUGUGAAAGCCCCGGGCUCAACCUGGGAACUGCAUCCAAAACUGGCGAGCUAGAGUAGGGCAGAGGGUGGUGGAAUUUCCUGUGUAGCGGUGAAAUGCGUAGAUAUAGGAAGGAACACCAGUGGCGAAGGCGACCACCUGGGCUCAUACUGACACUGAGGUGCGAAAGCGUGGGGAGCAAACAGG